RNAcentral lists this transfer RNA (74 nucleotides) under Candidatus Nitrosotenuis cloacae. Its description in RNAcentral is "tRNA-Thr (CGT) (tRNA-Thr-CGT-1-1)". It matches the Rfam family "tRNA". Rfam says of the family: Transfer RNA (tRNA) molecules are approximately 80 nucleotides in length. Their secondary structure includes four short double-helical elements and three loops (D, anti-codon, and T loops). Lineage: Archaea; Thermoproteati; Nitrososphaerota. RNAcentral also lists the same sequence under 1 other name. The record is from Rfam by way of RNAcentral.
GCCUCGAUAGCUCAGCCUGGUAGAGCGAAAGUUUCGUAAACUUUAGGUCGUGGGUUCAAAUCCCAUUCGAGGCU